CAGCCGUCUCACCACCUUCCCUUAGAGAUCUGUUCCUCCCCCUAAAGGCCCUGGGGUUGAUUCCAGUGGGGCUGCCAACCACAGAUUCCUGAGCCCUGGCCACAAGAGGAUGAUGCAACCUAAGCCUGAGCCGUCAUAGAGCCCCACCCCCAGCCUGGAGCCUGAAUGAGGGGACUGAUCAAAGCUGGGCCAAUCAGCUGGGACUUCUACACAGGAAAGCAGGGGAGGGGAGAGAAGCCUUCUCAUUGCCUGGGCACAGCUGAGCUGAAUAAUAUAAGCCAGGAGCUUCUGGUGGCCAUGCCUCCUGUGCCUGUCCUCGCAAGGAUGAAGUCAUCCCCAGUAAGAGAAAAUGAGGCCUGAGCACAGAGAAAAGUCAAGACGAAUGACGGAGGCAAAGGGAUGGGAGUAGGAAGGUAACAGGAUGUGCGAUGGGACUGUUCCUGUUGUCCGGGAAUUCCAGCUAAAGCCCAGAGGCGAGGACAAAGAGGCUCUAAGCCAAGAAGCACACCACCUGCUGAAGCGAGCUGCCCACCAUGGCACACGCUGCCUACCCGGGCUCACCAAAAGCAUCCUCCUUUUUUUGAGGAAUUGCUCCUAUCCCACCCAUAAAAAUAGCUAAGAAUGCAGAAUUUGUGGAGAGGAUCAAAGAUAUUAAGAUGUCACAUUUACUGUUGCUGCCAUGACCGAAGCCGAAAAGCAGCACAGAACCGUGCGGAGGGUGGGCCCUGACUUGGACCUGCCUCUAAGGAGGGGUGAGCCUGGACUGCUGAGUGGGGGUGUAGGAGCUGCCUCUGCGUCUGCACCUUUAGCAGCCCUCUAGCCCAUCUCUGGCUUCAGCCACGGCUGUGGUAGGCAGUUCCACUCUGCUUUUGCUGCUGGUAUUCCACCUGCAGACUCAUGCCACCUGUCUUUCUCCAUUCCACGCUCAGACCUUCUCCCAAUGCCCGGAAGCUUUCUGGGCUGGCUUGCAAGCCCAGCUCAGAAAUGCAGAGGAGUUAAUACCCUAUAGGCAACCCUCAACCAACACAGAACGGUGGCUGAUGGACAAAUGCUCCAGCCUCCAGUCCAACAGGUGGAGACUUUCGGGAGAUAUUCUGCACGCUUCUCAGAGGUCCUGGUGGAAUUGAACUCCCACCGCUGACAGUAGUGACCUCAACAAUGCAUCCAUAGAUGAACUCUCCCCUUCUCUGUCUCACUCCCCCUGUCCCUUCACUCCUGCUUCCUGGGAUCACCUGUACCAAGUCUUGUCUCAGGCUCUGCUUUGGGGGACACUACAGUCUGGGAAAUGUUUGAUGUGGACAGAAGCAGGACUAAUGGUGGAACUUCUAAGUUAGCCUCCCUCCUGCAUGUGGGAUGCCUUGAAGAAAGCUGCAGCGUAGAUGAAAAGGAAACGCUAUACCAUCUAACAGCUGGGACACCGGAGACCAGGCGGUUCUGCUGCAGGCCCCAUAACCACCGAGGACACUAUGAGAAGCAGCGCCCUUCCUCGAGCUCUGAGAAAGCACCCCUGCUUGGACCGACUGAGACCUGUGUCAGCGAAAGCUGGGGCGGUGUGGGUGACAGGACUACCAGAACAGGGUGAUCCUGUCAGAGCCCCUCUCUUCAGGACUGCCAUGCCUUCAGCACAGCUCUCAGCAGCACCAGCUCUCCACUAACAGCCAAUGGAGCGCCGACCAACACCUGGCAAGUGAAUCUGGCUGCAGGGACAUCCCUAAGGUCCCCUCCCCCAGCAGGUGUCCACAGAGCAACACUGAGUAGGACUGAUUCCUGGGCAAAUGUAAGCAACCCUGGAAUAUUUGAAGGUAGAAUUAUUGAAAAAUAUUUGACGAAGAAAAGGAUUGAACUUUGUGCUAAUUUCACACCUAGCAGAUCAGAGCUGUAAUUGAGGCUUAAAAAGAAACACGAACGCACUUUAUCAUCACAAGUUGGUAAAGUCAGGAAUGUACUUUACAACCACUUUAUCAACAUUUAGUCAAACAUUUCCCAAAACUCAUUCAUUUGCCUAGUAUCUAACAAUUUACUAUCUGUACUAUUCGUUACUUAAUAUUUUUCUUUAAACCAAAACACUUUUUCAAACUUAAAUAUCCACUUAAGCUUCAUAUUGAAUGAAAAUAAAUGUGGAAUUAUGGAUCUGGUGCUACUUAUGUUUUUCUAACACAUAUGAAAAUAAGCACAUAACUAUUAGAAAAAUCACCUCAAUUUAUAUGUGGUAUGCGUAUUUCACAUUGGGCAACAUCGAUUAGCCAUGACUAUAAAUUGUCCUGACUUUGUUUCUCAUUAGAUUGCUAAGGUAUUACAAUGGUUUUUGCUUUCUGAGAUCUUAAUUCUCCGUGAAUUUUCCUUUGGUCAUAAUUGUUCCGCAAAGGUUGUUUCUCAGAAAGAGUACUUUCGAUACUUGACAUUCCUGAAAGUAUCUCUCUUUUGUUCUCAGUUUGCCUACCGCAAAAUUUUAAUAAUUCUCAAUCUACAGGAUUAUUUACAUAUUGCCCCAUUGUCUUCUAAUUUUUAACACUGCAAAUGAGAACUCCAACGCCAGUCUGAAUCUCUUUCUGUAGGAAAGUUUAUAGGAUUUUUACAUUAUCCUUGAAAUUCAGAAAUUUUACCAGCUAUGUCCUUGGGUGGAAUUUUUGCAGCAAUUCUGCCCAGGACUCAGUGAACCACUUCAAUCCAUAGAUAAAACAUUCUUCAGCUCAGGAAAUUUUCUUUAGUUAUUUUGUUAAUUGACACUUCACUUCUACCCAUCCUUCUUACUUAUUCUAAGACUCCUGUUAUAUGAAUAUUGGAACAUUAUAUCCAUCUCUCUCUCUCUCUUUUUUUUUUUGAAGAUUAGCCCUGAGCUAACAUCUGCUGCCAAUCCUCCUCUUUUUUGCCGAGGAAGACUGGCCCUGAGCUGAUAUCCGUGCCCAUCUUCCUCUACCUCAUAUGUGGGAACCCCACUACAGCCUGGCCUGUCAGGUGGUGCUUAGGUCCACACCGGGGAUGUGAACAGAUGAACCCCAGGCCUCUGAAGCAGAACGUGCAAACUUAACUGCUAUAUCACCCGGCUGGCCCCACCUCUCUCUUAUUUUUUAUCUCAUGAAUUUGUCUUUGUUCUGAGAGGAUUGUAUUAAUUCUUGUGAGUUUAUCUGAUAACGCACUCCGUCAGUUUUCCAUAGUAUAUAUGCAUUUCUGUUUUAUUUUUGGGCACAUACAAUCAUGUAUUUUAUUUUCAAGGACUGUUUCUUGUUCUCCAUUUCAUGCUUUUCUUCUCCUCUAACAAUUCACUGAGAUACAAAUGCUGAUGAGGAUUUUAGGCUGGGUAAUUUUAAAAAACUGCAGAUGAGAAGCAGGCUCCGAGGACUGGAAUUUGCUUGCUCUUUGAAAGACAUUUGCAUUUGUGAAGGAAGGGGGGAUGACCUUGUAGGGACCUGAAAUUGGCCACGCCAGGAUGUGUCUCUUUGGCAUCGGGAUUGUUUUGGGUUGAUUGCUUUCGAUAAACUGGGACAGGGAAGGAGGCUCUGGGGAAUGGAACUUGCCCUUCUUGGGACACAUUUACGUUUGUAAGGUAAAUCUCUAUCUGUAAAAGGUGCCUCCCUCUCUGUACCAGGAAGAAGAAGAGAGAUGACCUUGUCCCUAGAAACUCUUAAUGGGGAAGGCAAGAACUUAAGUUGAUUGCUGUCUGGUAAUCUCAUGUAACUGAUUUAGGGUGGUGGCUUCUAACCUUUCUAACCUUUACUUAAUCCGAUUUCAUUCUUGUCUAAAAGUCAUGGGAUCACCCAAUGACCAGACCCCACCUGCACUGAUACCAUUGUAACUUUUGUUCAUGUUCUUUCCUUUGUCUUGUAAAGAGAUGACUCACAUACCCAUGCCUUAUAAAAUUAGCCCUAACCCUCAACUCGGGGCAGCAGCAGCGGCUCUGCCUGCCCAUGGGCCCUGUCCCCAUGCUAUUCCACACUAUUCUCUAAAUAAAAGAGCACUACUGCCAGAUCUUGAGAGUCCAGGAAAUCUUUCUUUCGACUCCUCGGCUCACCAACCCC
Long non-coding RNA from Equus caballus (horse), 4016 nucleotides. The record is from Ensembl. NCBI's taxonomy places the organism in Eukaryota, Metazoa, Chordata, Mammalia, Perissodactyla, Equidae.